RNAcentral lists this ribosomal RNA (543 nucleotides) under uncultured bacterium. RNAcentral's name for it is "bacterial SSU rRNA". It matches the Rfam family "Bacterial small subunit ribosomal RNA", at positions 31 to 569 of the family's 1533-position model. The record is from RNAcentral.
GAACGCUGGCGGCGUGCUAACAAUGCAAGUCGAGCGGUAACAGGUGUAGCAAUACAUGCUGACGAGCGGCGAACGGGUGAGUAAUGCUUCGGAAUCUGCCCAAUGGUGGGGAAUAACCAGCCGAAAGGUUGGCUAAUACCGCAUAAGUCCUACGGGGGAAAGCAGGGGAUCGCAAGACCUUGCGCCGAUGGAUGAGCCGAAGUCGGAUUAGCUAGUUGGUAGGGUAACGGCCUACCAAGGCGACGAUCCGUAGCUGGUCUGAGAGGACGACCAGCCACACUGGGACUGAGACACGGCCCAGACUCCUACGGGAGGCAGCAGUGGGGAAUAUUGGACAAUGGGGGAAACCCUGAUCCAGCGACGCCGCGUGUGUGAAGAAGGCCUGCGGGUUGUAAAGCACUUUUAGUGGGGAUGAAAAGCUCAGGGCUAACACCUCUGGGUCUUGACCUAACCCAAAGAAAAAGCACCGGCUAACUCUGUGCCAGCAGCCGCGGUAAUACAGAGGGUGCGAGCGUUAAUCGGAAUUACUGGGCGUAAAGCGUG